CGUGCGGUUCUAUUUUGUUGGUUUCUAGGACCGCCGUAAUGAUUAAUAGGGAUAGUCGGGGGCAUCCGUAUUCAAUUGUCAGAGGUGAAAUUCUUGGAUUUAUUGAAGACGAACUACUGCGAAAGCAUUUGCCAAGGAUGUUUUCAUUAAUCAGUGAACGAAAGUUAGGGGAUCGAAGACGAUCAGAUACCGUCGUAGUCUUAACCAUAAACUAUGCCGACUAGGGAUCGGACGGUGUUAUUAUUUUGACCCGUUCGGCACCUUACGAGAAAUCAAAGUUUUUGGGUUCUGGGGGGAGUAUGGUCGCAAGGCUGAAACUUAAAGAAAUUGACGGAAGGGCACCACCAGGCGUGGAGCCUGCGCCUUAAUUUGACUCAACACGG
Molecule: ribosomal RNA, 383 nt
Filed under: uncultured fungus
Lineage: Eukaryota; Fungi
Description: SSU rRNA
Rfam family: Eukaryotic small subunit ribosomal RNA
Source: RNAcentral